AACGAACGCUGGCGGCAUGCCUAACACAUGCAAGUCGAACGAGACCUUCGGGUCUAGUGGCGCACGGGUGCGUAACGCGUGGGAACCUGCCCUUAGGUUCGGAAUAACUCCCCGAAAGGGGUGCUAAUACCGGAUAAUGUCUUCGGACCAAAGAUUUAUCGCCUUUGGAUGGGCCCGCGUUGGAUUAGCUAGUUGGUAGGGUAAAAGCCUACCAAGGCGACGAUCCAUAGCUGGUCUGAGAGGAUGAUCAGCCACACUGGGACUGAGACACGGCCCAGACUCCUACGGGAGGCAGCAGUGGGGAAUAUUGGACAAUGGGCGAAAGCCUGAUCCAGCAAUGCCGCGUGAGUGAUGAAGGCCUUAGGGUUGUAAAGCUCUUUUACCCGGGAUGAUAAUGACAGUACCGGGAGAAUAAGCGCCGGCUAACUCCGUG
This 433-nucleotide ribosomal RNA is filed under the name uncultured bacterium. RNAcentral's name for it is "partial 16S ribosomal RNA". It matches the Rfam family "Bacterial small subunit ribosomal RNA", at positions 29 to 507 of the family's 1533-position model. The record is from RNAcentral.